This 777-nucleotide ribosomal RNA is filed under the name uncultured Neocallimastigales. Its description in RNAcentral is "partial large subunit ribosomal RNA". It matches the Rfam family "Eukaryotic large subunit ribosomal RNA", at positions 23 to 645 of the family's 3401-position model. Lineage: Eukaryota; Fungi; Neocallimastigomycota; Neocallimastigomycetes; Neocallimastigales. The record is from RNAcentral.
AGAGAGAGACAUGCGCGCAUAUCAAUAAGCGGAGGAAAAGAAACUAACAAGGAUUCCCCUAGUAACGGCGAGUGAAGCGGGAAGAGCUCAAAUUUGAAAUCUUAAAGGUUUUCCCUUGACGAAUUGUAGUUUAAAGAAGUGUUUUCUGUUGAAGGUUUCGGUAAAAGUUCUUUGGAAUAGGACAUCAUAGAGGGUGAGAAUCCCGUAUUUGACCGUUACUUUUCAGCUGUGUGAUACACUUUCAAAGAGUCGGAUUGUUUGGGAAUGCAGUCCAAAAUGGGUGGUAAAUUUCAUCUAAAGCUAAAUAUUGGCGAGAGACCGAUAGCGAACAAGUACCGUGAGGGAAAGAUGAAAAGAACUUUGAAAAGAGAGUUAAACAGUACGUGAAAUUGUCAAAAGGGAAAGCGUUUGACACCAGUGUUGUUUUUCUGAAAAUCAAUUAAAGAACUGUUUAUGCUAAGUUGUUUAGACUUUAUCAGCUAACUGUUUAGUUUUGAGCUUUUCUUUAAUGCACUUUUCAGUUAACAAGUCAACAUCAAUUUCUUUUGCUGUAAAAAAGCUUGAGGAAGGUGGCUUGAGAUUCGUCUUAAGUGUUUAUAGCCUCUUGCCUAUGCAGUCGGAGAGAUUGAGGUCUGCAGCGUAGAUCCUUCGGGGCUAAAUGCAUUUGUGCUAAGUUAUAGCAUUUUAUAGACAACUUGUUGACUAUGAUUUGUCUUGUAGCUUACUCGCUUAUGUUAUUUUACCUACGCUUAGGAUGUUGAGCGCAUGUCUCUCUCU